GUAGGGAAUAUUGGGCAAUGGUCGGAAGACUGACCCAGCCAUGCCGCGUGCAGGAAGACGGCCCUCUGGGUUGUAAACUGCUUUUAUCUGGGAAGAAAAAGGCCAUGCGUGGCAAAUUGCCGGUACCAGAUGAAUAAGCACCGGCUAACUCCGUGCCAGCAGCCGCGGUAAUACGGAGGGUGCGAGCGUUGUCCGGAUUUAUUGGGUUUAAAGGGUGCGUAGGCAGCUGAUUAAGUCAGCGGUGAAAGACUUCGGCUUAACCGGCGCAGUUCCUUUGAUACUUGUUGGCUUGAGUGUCGGAGGGGUACAUGGAAUUGAUGGUGUAGCGGUGAAAUGCAUAGAUACCAUCAGGAACACCGAUAGCGAAGGCAUUGUACUGGCCGACAACUGACGCUGAUGCACGAAAGUGUGGGGAUCGAACAGGAUUAGAAACCCUGGUAGUCC
This 444-nucleotide ribosomal RNA is filed under the name uncultured bacterium. RNAcentral describes it as "partial 16S ribosomal RNA". It matches the Rfam family "Bacterial small subunit ribosomal RNA", at positions 354 to 796 of the family's 1533-position model. The record is from RNAcentral.